Molecule: long non-coding RNA, 641 nt
Filed under: Homo sapiens (human)
Lineage: Eukaryota; Metazoa; Chordata; Mammalia; Primates; Hominidae
Description: non-protein coding lnc-CENPP-20:17
Source: RNAcentral
ACCGCGCCCGUGCGUCUGCGCGCCUGGCCGCCAGGUGACCCAGCAGCCCGGCCGCCGAGAUGCCCAACCCGCCCAGGCUCCGGGCGCUGUGACUUCGCGCCGCUGUGUGCGCCUCCCCGAGCGCCGGCUGCGCCCCCCAGCCCGGCCCGGGGCCUACCGCCUGCCCGGCCCCCUGCCACUGCCAGGAGGACGGCAUCAUGCUGUCUGCCGACUGCUCUUGAGCUUGGGCUGUCCGCCAUACCGGGGGACCUGGAUCCCCUGACGGCUUACCUAGCAGUGCCCAGGAUGGUGGCUGAGGGUAAAGCUGACAGAACUGGAGGUGGAGGAAGUAGCAGGCCAGAGAGGACUCGAAGAUCCUUAGAAGGAGCCAUAGACGGAACCAUAGGAGGCGCCCAGGAGCUAUGGGCUCCAGAAGUUUCCUCCUAAACUGUGGUCUCAGCGAGGCUCAUUGACACUCACCGGGGUUUCGACAUUCUCCCUGGCUAGGGCCUGUUCUGGAAAUAGACCAAGGGGGAGAUGGAGCCCCUGGCCGUGGGACAUCCAAUCUGAUGGUGAUGAGAAGGCAUGAUGCCUCUUGUUCUAUUCUUUUUUGUUUCUUCUUUUUUUUUAAAUAAAAAAGACCAGUAAUGUGCUGACUUCAU